Molecule: ribosomal RNA, 492 nt
Filed under: uncultured bacterium
Lineage: Bacteria
Description: partial 16S ribosomal RNA
Rfam family: Bacterial small subunit ribosomal RNA
Source: RNAcentral
AGUGAACGCUGGCGGUAGGCCUAACACAUGCCAGUCGAACGGCAGCACAGUAAGAGCUUGCUCUUACGGGUGGCGAGUGGCGGACGGGUGAGGAAUACAUCGGAAUCUACUUUUUCGUGGGGGAUAACGUAGGGAAACUUACGCUAAUACCGCAUACGACCUACGGGUGAAAGCAGGGGAUCUUCGGACCUUGCGCGAUUGAAUGAGCCGAUGUCGGAUUAGCUAGUUGGCGGGGUAAAGGCCCACCAAGGCGACGAUCCGUAGCUGGUCUGAGAGGAUGGUCAGCCCACCUGGAACUGAGACACGGUCCAGACUCCUACGGGAGGCAGCAGUGGGGAAUAUUGGACAAUGGGCGCAAGCCUGAUCCAGCCAUACCGCGUGGGUGAAGAAGGCCUUCGGGUUGUAAAGCCCUUUUGUUGGGAAAGAAAAGCAGCAGGUUAAUACCCCGCUGUUCUGACGGUACCCAAAGAAUAAGCACCGGCUAACUUCGUG